RNAcentral lists this ribosomal RNA (742 nucleotides) under uncultured bacterium. RNAcentral describes it as "bacterial SSU rRNA". It matches the Rfam family "Bacterial small subunit ribosomal RNA", at positions 94 to 823 of the family's 1533-position model. The record is from RNAcentral.
AGCGGCGGACGGGUGAGUAACACGUGGGUAACCUGCCCAAGAGACUGGGAUAACACCUGGAAACAGAUGCUAAUACCGGAUAACAACACUAGACGCAUGUCUAGAGUUUGAAAGAUGGUUCUGCUAUCACUCUUGGAUGGACCUGCGGUGCAUUAGCUAGUAGGUAAGGUAACGGCUUACCAAGGCAAUGAUGCAUAGCCGAGUUGAGAGACUGAUCGGCCACAUUGGGACUGAGACACGGCCCAAACUCCUACGGGAGGCAGCAGUAGGGAAUUUUCCACAAUGGACGAAAGUCUGAUGGAGCAACGCCGCGUGAGUGAAGAAGGGUUUCGGCUCGUAAAGCUCUGUUGGUAGUGAAGAAAGAUAGAGGUAGUAACUGGCCUUUAUUUGACGGUAAUUACUUAGAAAGUCACGGCUAACUACGUGCCAGCAGCCGCGGUAAUACGUAGGUGGCAAGCGUUGUCCGGAUUCAUUGGGCGUAAAGCGAGUGCAGGCGGUUCAAUAAGUCUGAUGUGAAAGCCUUCGGCUCAACCGGAGAAUUGCAUCAGAAACUGUUGAACUUGAGUGCAGAAGAGGAGAGUGGAACUCCAUGUGUAGCGGUGGAAUGCGUAGAUAUAUGGAAGAACACCAGUGGCGAAGGCGGCUCUCUGGUCUGCAACUGACGCUGAGGCUCGAAAGCAUGGGUAGCGAACAGGAUUAGAUACCCUGGUAGUCCAUGCCGUAAACGAUGAGUGCUAAGUGU